CAGCAGCAGCCGCGGGAAUACGAAGGGUGCAAGCGUUAAUCGGAAUUACUGGGCGUAAAGCGUGCGUAGGCGGUUUGUUAAGUCUGCUGUGAAAUCCCCGGGCUCAACCUGGGAAUGGCAGUGGAUACUGGCAAGCUAGAGUGUGUCAGAGGAUGGUGGAAUUCCCGGUGUAGCGGUGAAAUGCGUAGAGAUCGGGAGGAACAUCAGUGGCGAAGGCGGCCAUCUGGGACAACACUGACGCUGAGGCACGAAAGCGUGGGGAGCAAACAGGAUUAGAUACCCCCGUAGUCCCUGUCUCUUAUAA
Molecule: ribosomal RNA, 304 nt
Filed under: uncultured bacterium
Lineage: Bacteria
Description: partial 16S ribosomal RNA
Rfam family: Bacterial small subunit ribosomal RNA
Source: RNAcentral